Molecule: long non-coding RNA, 3658 nt
Organism: Mustela lutreola (European mink)
Lineage: Eukaryota; Metazoa; Chordata; Mammalia; Carnivora; Mustelidae
Exons: 2
Source: RefSeq, a predicted model, not a curated record
UUCAAAGUGGAGUGGGUCCAGGUGGAACAUGAAUCAGUAUUGGAACUAAGUUAAGAUUGUUGGUUUAAUUAAGAUAAGACGUGUCUUUGAAGUUACAGCAGUAAUCUAUCAAAGUUUACUGAAGGUCAAAUAAGCUUAUGUUACUUGUUAAAAUUUGUUAGCAAAGGAAUGACUAAACUGAUGGUUAAUUGUCUGUCUCAAAGUUCUAAUGGCUAAUUGCUGAAGUAGCUUUCAAAGUCUUUGGUAACCUGAAAGUUUUAAAGUUUUGCUUGGAUGACAAGUGGAAUUAAAUUGUGGACAUCUAGGUCUUAACCAAACAGGAUAAAAUGCUAAGUCAUUAAUUACUGGAUGUAGGUUUGUGCUUUUUUACUUACUGCAAAGAAACUAAGAGUAUUUAAAUCUGCUGGUAAGCUUGUUUUCUACUUAACUGAUUCAUAAAUUGCCACCUGAAGAAUUCUGUUGUAACAGUUCACAAUUGGUUAAUAACUAAAGGUGUUUCUAAGAAUACAAAGUUCUGCUUAGUGUAACUAAGACUGAUGGAAAUAAAAGGAAACUCUAGGAAAGUAGAUGAUAUGUAAGAAAGAUUUAAGGAAUGGGAAUACAUUUUGUUGAAGGUAAGGGAAGGUAAUUUUGUCCUAAAUGAGAUGGUUGUUUGGAAGGAAAUGGCUUGGGACAAAACCUGAAUGCAAAGGAAAGUUGUAGAAGGUUUGUGAACGGAAAUCUUCACAAAAGAAAUUUUAGAUAUGGUCAGGACAGACUAAAAAAAGAAAGAAAAACAGCCUCCAAGGUGAUUUAGCACUCUCCUGACCUGCCUCCACACAGAUUAUACUUCCAAGUAUAAGGGCCAUUUGGCCUUGAGAGAUUAAGGAAGCAGCCCAACCAUGAGGGACUGGGAAAACACCCUGUUACCAUCCUCCUUUGCCUGUAACCAUAGAAACUCACUCUAAUCUGUAAAGAAUGAAAGGGGAGACUGAUCACCUCCCAUUAGCCAGAGACGCCCAAAAGGGGAGGGUAUCCAACCUGUUUGAAUCUGAAGAGUGCCUGACUGUGUGAAUGUGUCUGUAUGGCUCCACCACUUUGGCUACGGAGUCUGAGGGGGCUGCACCUUGAGUCUCGCGGGGCGUCAUAUGGCAUAACGGUCAUCUACUCCACGGAGUAGCCUGGUCCGGGGUUUAUGCGGACAGGCCUUAGCUAAGACGCUCCUAAAUUCCCAUGAGGGAUGCAAACAGGACAGCAGGGGAAAGAUCCCCCCCCUCCUUUGUCUGCGACAUCAUUCAUGAUAGGAGGGAAACCCAGAAAACUCCUAUCUUAAGACUGCACACUUAGAAGUAAAAUUAAAAAAGGGAAAGACACUGGUAUAAAAAGCUGGUUUUCUUUCUGUUUAAAAGGGGCAAAGUUUUCUUAGCUAAUUGAUCUGUUAAAAAGUGUAAAUGGUUUUCUCUUUGCCUGCCUGAAAAAUUCAGUUCCUAUGUUUUGUUUUAUCAGGUGUUUAACAUCCCUAAUUAUAUUUAGGCAUGUGUUUUUAAACUUUCUAAGGUUUUAGCAAUUGUUGACAAGAUUUAAACCAAUGAUAAACCUUGGGUUACAUUUGGGAAAAAUGCUAUAACUAUUCUAGAGAUUCUAUGCAUUUCCUAAAGUUUUAAUGUUUUGAGAGAUCAUCGCUUGAUAUUAUAAUUAUGGAAAUGUUAUAUAUCACAGAAAUUGUAACCUGAUUUUCUUGCAGCUAAAUUGUAAACUCCUGUGUCUCUUUAGCUCUAACCAUAUCCAUUCUGAGUUUUUGUCAUUUAUAAUUGUUUUAAUUCUCUGGUAAAAUGAGUUUUAUCUUCAAGGAUAUUCCUAUAAAGGACUUUCAGGACAAAUACAGAUAUUUGAUAUACUUGAAAGUCCUAAAACUGAAAUGGGUAAGAAUUUCCAAAACUGACUAAAGCCACAUUCACCAGAUUUAGUAACAUGGGACUAAAUGAACUAAAAGAUUAUAGUGUUGUGUCUGUUAAUAUUUUGUCUUACUUUAAACAUUGCUGGUUCUCUCUACUGUUUACUCUUACAGACUAGGGAUACUCCCUCCUAGUUAUCUGUAACUUAUAGAGAUGUAAAAGUGCUCAUUUGUAAAAAUGCUCAAAGCAUUCACCUUUUCUCUUUAUCUGAACCCUCUGAAACCAAAAGGUCUCAGUAAGCAUUCUUCUAUGGCAAUCAGUCAUUUGCAUAAGUUCAAUAAGAAUCUGUUCUCCUUGUAACAGGACACCAUUGGAAACUGGUUAUUUUACCAAGGCUUUGACUGGAAUGUCAUAUUUGAGAAAGAUAUGCAUAAACUCAGAUAUGACCAGACAGCUUUAAGAAACUAAGGUUGACUUUAUGAAACCUGGAGCCAUAAAGCCUCUUGGGACUGUUGGCCUGAUACCUUGCUUACAGAGUUCCCAGCAGCCUCACCAGUGUUUCUCUACUUGGUGCCGAGACUCCAUUGCUGCAAUGACUUCACCACGACAGAUGAUCCUUACCACGCGCAAAGACACUCCUUCACUGUCAGCGCUGGAUUCAGCUGCCUCCGCCUUUCGUAACUCCCCUAUACAUUCCUCCACUGAUCAAUGUUGACCUGAAUAGGUAGGGACAGCUCUACGCCCCUAUUCAGCAUGAAGAAGUUACAGAAGAUGAGACCUUCCACCUUCAACCACCUUAAAGAUUUAAGAGUCAAAAUUGUUCAGGGGGAAAUGAUGAAGGAGCAGGAGGCUGGCUGAGGAUGGAGAAGGGGCUGAUGCCUUGCACCCCCUCUUCACCCUUCUCCACCGCGAAAACUGGUUCAACAGAUUGCCUUGGCUUACUACUUUGUUGUCAUCUAUAACGGGCGCUCUCAUCAUUCUGUUAUUAAUUCUAACUUUUGGUCCUUGUGUCUUAAACAGGUUAGUACAGUUCAUUAAAGAUCACCUGUCUGUUGUUCAGACUAUGGUACUGACACAGCGAUACCAACUCCUCAAGCAAAUAGAGCCCCGGACUAGCUCAAUGCAAGGGCAGGACAUGCAAGAACAAGACGAAUGGAUAUAAGAUUCUAUCCAUGAUCAAGAAAAAGGGGGGAAUGAAAGACCCCCCCCCAGUCUUUAAAUAAUUAACUGCUCUUUUGUUGUGUAAGAGUACCCCUCCUCCCCUUGCAGUGAAAAGACCCUUCCCCCAGGGUUGAAUUCAAUGUAACUGCUCUUUUGCCUUUCUGUAACAGCUUGGCUUUUAGGGCAUGACACUUGACUCCUGUUUGAACAAGAUACCCUCUCCUAAUAGCAGGGGCAUGGUCAUGUAGGCAGGGGGCCACAUAGUCACGUAGACAGGAUGUCUUUCUGCUGAGUAAUAAGGUCUAACUUCCCCUCUUUGUUUCCCCCUUCCCGCCGCUCUCUUCGCAUGCGUGGGCUAACUGGCCAGUUCUGCUUCUGUAAGAUUGCUUUGUCUGCUUUCGCACGUGGGUCCCCUGAUCCACUCCACUGACGCCAAGUAUGCCUGUUCAAACUGUCCACCAAUCAGUUGCUCCCCACCCAAAACUUGUUUGUACCUGUCUAUAAAAACCCGGCACCACCACAGCCGGGUGUGCUCAGCUAGCAGGAGCUGCUGACCACCCGCAGGCGCGCGCUGACCACCCGCAGGCGCCUGCGUAACAAUAAAGAACCUCUUGCUGAUUGCA